Marmota monax (woodchuck) is the source of this 1804-nucleotide long non-coding RNA. RefSeq lists it as uncharacterized. The transcript has 5 exons. The record is from RefSeq and is a predicted model, not a curated record. Lineage: Eukaryota; Metazoa; Chordata; Mammalia; Rodentia; Sciuridae.
UUUUGCUUUUUCGACAGAGCAGGAGAGGCAAUCAAACAACAAAUCACUCCGACCUCAGUGGGUGUGCUUGUGAGGGCUCCGGGCUGUUCCAAGAGCCGGGGAGGAGUUGGGGUAUUGAAGGCUGCUUGUGUCAGGGCUGGAACCAUUGGAAGUCCAAUACAGGAUAACAGUCCUCAUCUCACAGCAGGGCUGGGGAGCUCUCCUGAGAGGUGUUUUGCAGGACGGCAGGAGCUACUUCUUGCAAGUCUAUUCUUUCUGUGUCCAUCGGACAGCACAGUCACAGAAAGUCCACAGGUUCUACAAGGAGAAGGGUACAUCUGCUCCACGACCCGGGAAUGAGGAAUUGUUCAGUAGCCAGCAUGGUCAGAAAUAAGAUGGAGGAUGUUGACAUGCAUGGCCAGAAACAUGAAUCGGAAAUGAAACCAUGAAAGACUGAACCUCAGCGUCCUGCUGAAUCUUCUUCAGUUCCCCUGAAGAGGGCUGAGCAUUCGGGACCUUCACAUUUCUGAAGGAUGACUCCUGUGAAGGAUGUCCUCCAGGGAAAGGAGUCUCACCAGCCCUGGAAGUACUGUGGCCAUGGCAGUCUGAGGAAUGUCACCUUGUCUUGGGAAUGGGUGCAGUGGACAUCAGGAAGGGACCAUGGAAAGCUGAUGCUGACCACACUCCACAUCAUUAAAAGCAACAAGAAAACCAUUAAUGUCACCAGAGGCAGAAGCACAGGACACCCCAGGAAAGUCAAUGGCCUCACAGACAACUUGUCAGCCACCUGAAGCACUUGAGUGACCCAGGCUCUGCUGAGUAAAGAUCUUCCUACUAUAGCUAUGUCUCAGCUGGAGCAAGGGCCAGUGCUCCAUGCCCCAGACCAUAUUCCUAUCUAGGUGGCUCCUUCAUCUUCAUGCUCCAGUCCAAUCUUAGGCAGGGGCUGGUGUGGGGAAGUUCCCCUAGUUGGGAAGAAGGGGGUGAUUCCCUUUCCACUUCUGCAAUGACUACCCACAACUUGCAUUUUGAAGGGACUGUCAGUCUAUUUCUGUCCUGUUCUUUGGCAGAGGAGGUGAGGAACCACAUUCAAUACCCAUGAGUGGUCUCUCAAGUGGCAACGCUUUGCUCCAAGUCCCUGUAGAAAACAUAGCUUCUCCCUUCCCUCUGUGUCCUGCAUGUUUUCCUUCUCAGACAAAAGCAUAAUCCAUUAAAAGCAUCUCUCUGCCCAUUAAAGCCAAAGCUAAAAUCUCUGUAGAAAUGCUGCCUUGCAGCCAGAAAGGUAAUGAUUUAGGAGACCACAGCUGGGCUAAGGGUGAGAACAAUGGUGGAGAGGUCGAAAGGGUCCAGAACCCAUUACAGAGUUCCUGAUAACCAUUCCAACUAAAAGGGCCCUGACAGAUUACUCACUACAAAGCUGGAUAAGCCCUGGAUAUUCAUCAGCAUACUGCUGGGCAAGACAGAGAGCUGAGGUUCCAAGGAAGGAGGGACAGGGAGGUGCUAACACACUUGUGCUGGUUUUGGGGAGAGAGUGAACCAUGGAAUGAACAUUGCAUAUAAAGAACAGAUAAGAUUUUGUCAUUUUUUAGUGCUGCGUAAUACUCCAUUGUGUAUAAAUGCCACAGUUUGGAUAGUAGGGGAUAGGAAAGGUAGCAGAAUACAACAGUCAUUAAUAUGGUAUUAUGUAAAAAUGUGGAUGUGUAACCGAUGUGAUUCUGCAACUUGUAUUUGGGGUAAAAAAUGGGAGUUCAUAACCCACUUGAAUCAAAUGUAUGGAAGAUGAUAUGUCAUGAGCUUUGUAAUGUUUUGAACAACCAAUAAAAAAAAG